RNAcentral lists this ribosomal RNA (426 nucleotides) under uncultured bacterium. Its description in RNAcentral is "bacterial SSU rRNA". It matches the Rfam family "Bacterial small subunit ribosomal RNA", at positions 355 to 773 of the family's 1533-position model. The record is from RNAcentral.
UGGGGAAUUUUGGACAAUGGGGGCAACCCUGAUCCAGCAAUGCCGCGUGUGUGAAGAAGGCCUUCGGGUUGUAAAGCACUUUUGUCCGGAACGAAAUACCACGGGUUAAUACCCUAUGGGGCUGACGGUACCUGAGGAAUAAGCACCGGCUAACUUCGUGCCAGCAGCCGCGGUAAUACGAAGGGUGCAAGCGUUAAUCGGAAUUACUGGGCGUAAAGGGUGCGUAGGCGGUUCGUUAAGUCUGUCGUGAAAUCCCCGGGCUCAACCUGGGAAUGGCGAUGGAUACUGGCGAGCUAGAGUGUGUCAGAGGAUGGUGGAAUUCCCGGUGUAGCGGUGAAAUGCGUAGAGAUCGGGAGGAACAUCAGUGGCGAAGGCGGCCAUCUGGGACAACACUGACGCUGAAGCACGAAAGCGUGGGGAGCAAAC